Molecule: ribosomal RNA, 301 nt
Filed under: uncultured bacterium
Lineage: Bacteria
Description: partial 16S ribosomal RNA
Rfam family: Bacterial small subunit ribosomal RNA
Source: RNAcentral
CAGUAGCCGCGGGAAAACAGAGGGUGCGAGCGUUAAUCGGAUUUACUGGGCGUAAAGCGUGCGUAGGCGGCUUCUUAAGUCGGAUGUGAAAUCCCUGAGCUUAACUUAGGAAUUGCAUUCGAUACUGGGAAGCUAGAGUAUGGGAGAGGAUGGUAGAAUUCCAGGUGUAGCGGUGAAAUGCGUAGAGAUCUGGAGGAAUACCGAUGGCGAAGGCAGCCAUCUGGCCUAAUACUGACGCUGAGGUACGAAAGCAUGGGGAGCAAACAGGAUUAGAGACCCGAGUAGUCCCUGUCUCUUAUAC